UAGUAGCCGUUCUUGAAAGACAAACCGAGAUUCUGAGAAACGAGCCAAGUUCAAUACUUAUAAGUUUUCAUUCAAUUAACACUGCUGCGUAUACAUAGAAUUACAUUACCUGAGAAUUUGAAGUUGUGUCAUUCAGUUAGUUCUCUUCAACGUACUCAAUCGUUACGACAUAAAAUCUUACCGCAAAUGGUUAACUUUUUGACAGUUAAGAUUAUUGCAAUUUUUUUGCUGCUGUUGGUGAAAGCAAAUGGUCACAUGGAAAUCAGCCAACGUUUAGAUGGGACAUCCGAUCAUGUGUCUAAAGUUGGAGAUUCUGUCGAUCAUCCAGGGGCACGUAUUUCUGAAUUUGGAGAUUCUGUCUCAGCAGUAAAUAUUUCUGAGAUGAAAAAUCGACGGUCAUAUAAAUGGGUGAAAAUUUCGCACCAUCCUGGAGCACAACAUCCAUGAACUUGGCUAUCACAUGUGUAAAUGUGUUGACGAAAUAAUGAUAAAAUAGAAAUGAAUUGUGUGCACAGUGGAAAUUGAUUUGAUAGUAAACAUA
Long non-coding RNA from Bradysia coprophila, 541 nucleotides. RefSeq lists it as uncharacterized. The record is from RefSeq and is a predicted model, not a curated record. Lineage: Eukaryota; Metazoa; Arthropoda; Insecta; Diptera; Sciaridae.